Long non-coding RNA from Nicotiana tabacum (common tobacco), 1007 nucleotides. RefSeq lists it as uncharacterized. NCBI's taxonomy places the organism in Eukaryota, Viridiplantae, Streptophyta, Magnoliopsida, Solanales, Solanaceae. The record is from RefSeq and is a predicted model, not a curated record.
CGAACAGGGGUACUUUGGUAGUUAUGAGUUUAUUAGGGAUAAAUUGUUAAUUAAGUCACCGAUCUCUUUUAAGAAAACACGCGUACUGCAAUUUUACUGCGUAAAAUACUAAGUUCUGUUCUCUCCCACCUACCUUCCAUGACUCCUCCUGAUUUUCUCCAAUUUCUUCCCAUUGUACAGUGCAGUCUAGAAAUUUCUAUUGCCUUUGAUUUUUAUUCGAUUUUGCACAAAUUUUUCUAGCAGUGCUUCAAAUGACUGGAUUCUCUGAGAUGUCUCGAAACCGAUUCUGCUGAAGAAGGUAUUCUACAACUAAACACAUUAGUAGGCUCAAUUUGUCGAGCACAUACAUGUCCAGAAUCAGGUAACAAAUGAAUCAAAUUGGUCAAAAAGUAGAAUCAGACAGGCGGCUUGCCACCAUUAGGAAGAUCUACCCACUUCCUCUCCUCCAACGCUCUUUUCUUUUCAAUUUAUUGGUGAUACAGGUUUCAAGGUUUGGUAUUAUGACGUAGAUGUCUCUACAAGAUCGAUUACCAUAUGUUGUAGGCAAUUUGAUAUCUCAUUUCCGUCUGUUCACCAAGCAGAAGGAUGGGUUAUUUGGAUUUUCGAAAGAUUACUCUGAUUUAAAGCUCUAUCAUUCUAAAGAGAAUUGAAGUAAUGAGAGCUUUAUGGGCAGAAGGGUAUGCAGAGAUUAAACAAUAUUAAUUUGGAACAGGUGAGAAGCAACAGAAUACUAAUAUGGUAUUUUAAAUUUUUUUCUUAUUUGAUAUAUGCUAUUUUGAGUGAAAUUUUUUAUCUGACGUUGAGUUAAACAGGUGAUACUAAUGCUUGAAAUAAGUUGCUUUGACAUUAGUUCUCUGCCAAUGUAUUGGUUUAUCUUUUAUUCUUAAUAAUUAAUUUGAGGUCUUACAGUAUAACUGAAGAAUUGAAAAGGUAAUUUGGAUUGUCAUCAGCCACUAUGUAACUUUCUUUAUAAGGUGGUCUUAAGUUUCUUUUGUACUUUAGGCUAA